AUUAGAAAUAGAAAUUAUAAUGUUGUGUUUCAGGGUGUAUGUAAGGUAUUAAUUUUAGCUUGUUAACCAAUGAGUGCACUUUUCUUUUUCCUGCAACAACUUGCUCUCUCAGCUGGACUUCUUUCUAUCUAACCAGAUACUUUCAAGAUCUGGGAGCUUCAGGUUCCUUGCUCCCUUGGCUUUGCCGUUGAUAACUUCCUGUCCAAUCCUACCAAAGUCUGGAACUGGAACAUCCAAGGGUUGCCCUUAGACGCCUUCUCUACUGAGAAUGGCAUCAUCAUCAAGCGAGGCCAUAGGAAGAAGUGUUUAAACUAUAAACUGAGGAGGAGAAAAUAUCUAGGAAAAGAGAAGAAAGUUGGCAAAACCAUGGUCUCCUUCUUCCUGAAUUUGUAACUUGGCCUACAAAGAAAGCAUCAGUCCUACUACACAGGAAGAGUCAACACUCGGAGGAGGCCUUCUGCACUUUGUCCUCUCCUUCUUUUCACUCCUCAUAAUGGGAAAGAAAGUACCCUACAGGUUCCAGUCAUAGACAAAGAAGCAUCAGCUUCACAUAGACCAUUGAAACAGCUUUCAGAGGAUUCUGCUUCUCUGAUCAAAUUCUGAAUGAUACAGACUCUGGCAGUUACGGUUGUUGAAAAUUUCAAAGAUGGUGUCAUCGUGAAGAACAUCUGGCUCUUGAUCCCAGUGCUUGGUCC
This 695-nucleotide long non-coding RNA is filed under the name Homo sapiens (human). Its description in RNAcentral is "HSALNT0364685". Lineage: Eukaryota; Metazoa; Chordata; Mammalia; Primates; Hominidae. The record is from RNAcentral.